GACGAACGCUGGCGGCGUGCUUAACACAUGCAAGUCGAACGGAAAGGCCCUGCUUUUGUGGGGUGCUCGAGUGGCGAACGGGUGAGUAACAGGUGAGUAACCUGCCCUUGACUUUGGGAUAACUUCAGGAAACUGGGGCUAAUACCGGAUAGGAGCUCCUGCUGCAUGGUGGGGGUUGGAAAGUUUCGGCGGGUGGGGAUGGACUCGCGGCUGAUCAGCUUGUUGGUGGGGUAGUGGCUUACCAAGGCUUUGACGGGUAGCCGGCCUGAGAGGGUGACCGGCCACAUUGGGACUGAGAUACGGCCCAGACUCCUACGGGAGGCAGCAGUGGGGAAUAUUGCACAAUGGGCGGAAGCCUGAUGCAGCAACGCCGCGUGCGGGAUGACGGCCUUCGGGUUGUAAACCGCUUUCGCCUGUGACGAAGCGUGAGUGACGGUAAUGGGUAAAGAAGCACCGGCUAACUACGUG
RNAcentral lists this ribosomal RNA (468 nucleotides) under uncultured bacterium. RNAcentral describes it as "partial 16S ribosomal RNA". It matches the Rfam family "Bacterial small subunit ribosomal RNA", at positions 28 to 507 of the family's 1533-position model. The record is from RNAcentral.